RNAcentral lists this ribosomal RNA (469 nucleotides) under Bacillus anthracis (anthrax bacterium). RNAcentral describes it as "partial 16S ribosomal RNA". It matches the Rfam family "Bacterial small subunit ribosomal RNA", at positions 566 to 1033 of the family's 1533-position model. The record is from RNAcentral. Lineage: Bacteria; Bacillati; Bacillota; Bacilli; Caryophanales; Bacillaceae.
CGCGCGCAGGUGGUUUCUUAAGUCUGAUGUGAAAGCCCACGGCUCAACCGUGGAGGGUCAUUGGAAACUGGGAGACUUGAGUGCAGAAGAGGAAAGUGGAAUUCCAUGUGUAGCGGUGAAAUGCGUAGAGAUAUGGAGGAACACCAGUGGCGAAGGCGACUUUCUGGUCUGUAACUGACACUGAGGCGCGAAAGCGUGGGGAGCAAACAGGAUUAGAUACCCUGGUAGUCCACGCCGUAAACGAUGAGUGCUAAGUGUUAGAGGGUUUCCGCCCUUUAGUGCUGAAGUUAACGCAUUAAGCACUCCGCCUGGGGAGUACGGCCGCAAGGCUGAAACUCAAAGGAAUUGACGGGGGCCCGCACAAGCGGUGGAGCAUGUGGUUUAAUUCGAAUCAACGCAAAGAACCUUACCAGGUCUUGACAUCCGCUGGGGACCCUACAGAUAGGGCUUCUCCUUCGGGAGCAGAGUG